GGGGAAUUUUGCGCAAUGGGGGAAACCCUGACGCAGCGACGCCGCGUGAGCGAUGAAGGUUUUCGGAUCGUAAAGCUCUGUCACAGGGGACGAUAGUGACGGUACCCUGGGAGGAAGCCCCGGCUAACUACGUGCCAGCAGCCGCGGUAACACGUAGGGGGCAAGCGUUGUCCGGAAUUACUGGGCGUAAAGAGCGCGUAGGUGGUUUAGUAAGUCAGGUGUGAAAGGCCAGGGCUCAACCCUGGGACUGCACUUGAAACUGCUUGACUUGAGGGCAGGAGAGGUAAGUGGAAUUCCCAGUGUAGCGGUGAAAUGCGUAGAUAUUGGGAGGAACACCAGUGGCGAAAGCGACUUACUGGCCUGGCCCUGACACUGAGGCGCGAAAGCGUGGGGAGCGAAC
RNAcentral lists this ribosomal RNA (400 nucleotides) under uncultured bacterium. RNAcentral describes it as "bacterial SSU rRNA". It matches the Rfam family "Bacterial small subunit ribosomal RNA", at positions 356 to 773 of the family's 1533-position model. The record is from RNAcentral.